AUUGAACGCUGGCGGCAGGCCUAACACAUGCAAGUCGAACGGUAACAGGAAGCAGCUUGCUGCUUCGCUGACGAGUGGCGGACGGGUGAGUAAUGUCUGGGAAGCUGCCUGAUGGAGGGGGAUAACUACUGGAAACGGUAGCUAAUACCGCAUAAUGUCGCAAGACCAAAGAGGGGGACCUUCGGGCCUCUUGCCAUCGGAUGUGCCCAGAUGGGAUUAGCUUGUUGGUGGGGUAACGGCUCACCAAGGCGACGAUCCCUAGCUGGUCUGAGAGGAUGACCAGCCACACUGGAACUGAGACACGGUCCAGACUCCUACGGGAGGCAGCAGUGGGGAAUAUUGCACAAUGGGCGCAAGCCUGAUGCAGCCAUGCCGCGUGUAUGAAGAAGGCCUUCGGGUUGUAAAGUACUUUCAGCGGGGAGGAAGGGAGUAAAGUCAAUACCUUUGCUCAUUGACGUUACCCGCAGAAGAAGCACCGGCUAACUCCGUG
This 490-nucleotide ribosomal RNA is filed under the name uncultured bacterium. RNAcentral's name for it is "partial 16S ribosomal RNA". It matches the Rfam family "Bacterial small subunit ribosomal RNA", at positions 30 to 507 of the family's 1533-position model. The record is from RNAcentral.